Molecule: long non-coding RNA, 461 nt
Filed under: Musa acuminata (dwarf banana)
Lineage: Eukaryota; Viridiplantae; Streptophyta; Magnoliopsida; Zingiberales; Musaceae
Description: long non-coding RNA (MACU_LNC000514)
Source: RNAcentral
UACCAUCUAUUGAGAAUCAAGGAGGAGAAUAUUUCGGUCACUGUUGGAAAAUUGUGUAAUUGUAUUGUAUUGAUGAAAUUAUUUGAGAGUAGGAGGAAAUAAAGAAAUCAUAAUCCUCAUCUUUUCAUCGAUUGAGCUAUGACCAAUUUAAAAGACUAAAUUUUCUUUUAAGGGGGGGAGAGUGUAAUAUCCCUCACUUUUGAAAAUUUAUUAAUAAGGAUUUAUAUGUAAAUUGGAGGACCUAUAUGUAAAUAUAGAAAUUUCAAGGACUAAACUGUUAAGUUGCAAAAAGAAAAAAAUAAAGAAAAUCAAAAAUUUCAGUUUUAUCCCACUGCCUCCCACGCUCUUUGUUUCCGAGAAACAGAGAGAGGAGCGGUGGGGCGUGGGGAGAAGAAGAGAGGAAGAAGAGGGAGAAGAGAAGAAGAAGAAGAAGAAGAAGAAGAAGAAGAAGAAGAAGAGAG